GAUGAACGCUGGCGGCGUGCCUAAUACAUGCAAGUCGAGCGAACAGACGAGGAGCUUGCUCCUCUGACGUUAGCGGCGGACGGGUGAGUAACACGUGUAUAACCUCCCUAUAAGUCUGGGAUAACUUCGGGAAACCGGAUCUAAUACCGUAUAAUAUAUUGCACCGCAUGGUUCAAUAGUGAAAGACGGCUUUGCUGUCUCUUAUAGAUGGAUCCGCGCCGCAUUGGCUAGUUGGUACGGUAACGGCCUACCAAGGCGAGGAUGCGUAGCCGACCUGAGAGGGUGAUCGGCCACACUGGAACUGAGACGCGGUCCAGACGCCUACGGGAGGCAGCAGUAGGGAAUCUUCCGCAAUGGGCGAAAGCCUGACGGAGCAACGCCGCGUGAGUGAUGAAGGUCUUCGGAUCGUAAAACUCUGUUAUUAGGGAAGAACAAAUGUGUAAGUAACUAUGCACGUCUUGACGGUACCUAAUCAGAAAGCCACGGCUAACUACGUG
Molecule: ribosomal RNA, 497 nt
Filed under: uncultured bacterium
Lineage: Bacteria
Description: partial 16S ribosomal RNA
Rfam family: Bacterial small subunit ribosomal RNA
Source: RNAcentral